RNAcentral lists this long non-coding RNA (263 nucleotides) under Elaeis guineensis (African oil palm). RNAcentral's name for it is "long non-coding RNA (EGUI_LNC011252)". The record is from RNAcentral. Lineage: Eukaryota; Viridiplantae; Streptophyta; Magnoliopsida; Arecales; Arecaceae.
AGCUUGAAUCAAAUAUGUGGGUCCAAUGAUAAACAAACCAAGCUGGAUCUCAAACUCAAAAUUAGUUUCAAAUGAAGCUCGGUGAAGCUCAAGCCAACCAAAUUCAACUUGUAUGCACUCCUAAUCUCAUCCGUAAUUACUACAGUCAAAUGGUUGAACGAUGGCCAAGUGGAUCAUUUGUGAACAACAAUCAAUCUCUCUCCCACACAUAGAAAUGAUGAUAGCAAUAACCGGCCGAUCGAAUGACCAUAUUACUAUUGGCC